UGCGUAGGCGGCUUAGCAAGCCAGAAGUGAAAGGCAUUGGCUCAACCAAUGUAAGCUUUUGGAGCUGUUAGGCUUGAGUGCAGGAGAGGAAAGUGGAAUUCCUAGUGUAGCGGUGAAAUGCGUAGAUAUUAGGAGGAACACCAGUGGCGAAGGCGACUUUCUGGACUGUAACUGACGCUGAGGCACGAAAGCGUGGGGAGCGAACA
Molecule: ribosomal RNA, 206 nt
Filed under: uncultured bacterium
Lineage: Bacteria
Description: partial 16S ribosomal RNA
Rfam family: Bacterial small subunit ribosomal RNA
Source: RNAcentral